ACGAACGCUGGCGGCGUGCUUAACACAUGCAAGUCGAACGGAAAGGCCCUGCUUGCAGGGUACUCGAGUGGCGAACGGGUGAGUAACACGUGGGUGAUCUGCCCUGCACUUCGGGAUAAGCCUGGGAAACUGGGUCUAAUACCGGAUAGGAGCCAUUUUUAGUGUGAUGGUUGGAAAGUUUUUUCGGUGUAGGAUGAGCUCGCGGCCUAUCAGCUUGUUGGUGGGGUAAUGGCCUACCAAGGCGGCGACGGGUAGCCGGCCUGAGAGGGUGGACGGCCACAUUGGGACUGAGAUACGGCCCAGACUCCUACGGGAGGCAGCAGUGGGGAAUAUUGCACAAUGGGCGCAAGCCUGAUGCAGCGACGCCGCGUGGGGGAUGACGGCCUUCUGGUUGUAAACUCCUUUCGCUAGGGACGAAGCUUUUUGUGACGGUACCUAGAUAAGAAGCACCGGCUAACUACGUG
This 464-nucleotide ribosomal RNA is filed under the name uncultured bacterium. RNAcentral describes it as "partial 16S ribosomal RNA". It matches the Rfam family "Bacterial small subunit ribosomal RNA", at positions 29 to 507 of the family's 1533-position model. The record is from RNAcentral.